CAGCGGAGCAUGUGGUUUAAUUCGAAGCAACGACGAAGAACCUUACCAGAUCUUGACAUCAAUUGACCAUCUUUUAAUCGAGAUUUUGCCUUCGGUACAAUUGAGACAGGUGGUGCAUGGUUGUCGUCAGCUCGUGUCGUGAGAUGUUGGGUUAAGUCCCGCAACGAGCGCAACCCUUGUGUUUAGUUGCAAACAGGUCAAGCUGUGCACUCUAGACAGACUGCCGUGGACAACACGGAGGAAGGUGGGGAUGACGUCAAAUCAUCAUGCCCCUUAUGAUCUGGGCUACACACGCGCUACAAUGGCCGGUACAACGGGCAGCGAAGGAGCGAUCCGGAGCGAAUCCUAAAAAGCCGGUCCCAGUUCGGAUUGCAGGCUGAAACUCGCCUACAUGAAGUUGGAGUUGCUAGUAAUCGCGAAUCAGAAUGUCGCGGUGAAUGCGUUCCCGGGUCUU
This 454-nucleotide ribosomal RNA is filed under the name uncultured Fusibacter sp. Its description in RNAcentral is "bacterial SSU rRNA". It matches the Rfam family "Bacterial small subunit ribosomal RNA", at positions 930 to 1382 of the family's 1533-position model. Lineage: Bacteria; Bacillati; Bacillota; Clostridia; Eubacteriales; Fusibacteraceae. The record is from RNAcentral.